UGUCUGAUUAGCGCAACUGGCAGAGCAACUGACUCUUAAUCAGUGGGUUGUGGGUUCGAUUCCCACAUCAGGCACCAU
This 78-nucleotide transfer RNA is filed under the name Mycoplasma mycoides subsp. capri str. GM12. Its description in RNAcentral is "tRNA-Lys". It matches the Rfam family "tRNA". From Rfam's summary of the family: Transfer RNA (tRNA) molecules are approximately 80 nucleotides in length. Their secondary structure includes four short double-helical elements and three loops (D, anti-codon, and T loops). Lineage: Bacteria; Bacillati; Mycoplasmatota; Mollicutes; Mycoplasmatales; Mycoplasmataceae. The record is from RNAcentral.